Molecule: ribosomal RNA, 301 nt
Filed under: uncultured bacterium
Lineage: Bacteria
Description: partial 16S ribosomal RNA
Rfam family: Bacterial small subunit ribosomal RNA
Source: RNAcentral
CAGUAGCCGCGGUAAUACGAAGGGUGCAAGCGUUACUCGGAAUUACUGGGCGUAAAGCGUGCGUAGGUGGUGGUUUAAGUCCGUUGUGAAAGCCCUGGGCUUAACCUGGGAAUUGCAGUGGAUACUGGGUCACUAGAGUGUGGUAGAGGAUAGUGGAAUUUCCGGUGUAGCAGUGAAAUGCGUAGAGAUCGGAAGGAACAUCUGUGGCGAAGGCGACUAUCUGGGCCAACACUGACACUGAGGCACGAAAGCGUGGGGAGCAAACAGGAUUAGAUACCCCAGUAGUCCCUGUCUCUUAUAC